Molecule: long non-coding RNA, 5468 nt
Filed under: Volvox carteri
Lineage: Eukaryota; Viridiplantae; Chlorophyta; Chlorophyceae; Chlamydomonadales; Volvocaceae
Description: long non-coding RNA (VCAR_LNC000681)
Source: RNAcentral
CAGUCUGCGUGCGGCGGCAAGCUAGGCGUGGAGCUGGAACAGCAAAACCUCCUCUGUCUCAAAUGCUAAAUGCUAAUGAGGUGAUUACCACUCCCCCUUGCUGCCCAGACUCUGGCCCUUGUAACAUUUCUAUUUGCAUGGCACCUUUCCAGCCUCAGAUACUUAUGGGCGCCCAUCCAUCCCGCUUGUGUUUGGGGCAGAGUUUCAAAGGAAUGCGGCGACAACGACAAUAGCGCAUUAUAACAGUAAUGUAACCAAAUAAAGAUAUUCAGAUAAGAGCUGCAUCGCUGCACAAUGCAAAACGACCUGAUCCUCGCGCGACAUGGACACACAAACACACAAACACAAAUGGCCCCACCCCCACAGCAGAUGACUUCCGUGGAGGUGUCCGCAAAGUGUUCGUGUGAAGACAAGAAAUGCCACAACAUGACAAACGAUCAGCUAACGUGAAAAGAGGGAGCGAGAGAGAAGAGGGGUGGAUUACGCCUCAUGCGACGUCAGCGCUCUCCCGCCAGCUGCAUCCCCGUUGUGUCCCCGUUUCUCGCGAUUGGUCUAAAAGUACUUUUGGCACCAGCAUGUAUGGCAAAGAAUAUGACUAGACAUGCAUGAUUGAGAAAAACAAUAUUAUGCUGUGGCGGCACUGAGAAAUGCUGUAGUCCUCCUUCUCCCUCCCCUGGCAGCCAUCCAUCCCAUUUGCGACGCUUUAAAUUGCGGCUCAUCCAAAGUUUAACGGCUAACAGCAUAUGCGCAGGCUGCUGCUGGUGCUUACGAAUUACUGGCCUGACUAUGGAGGCAUGCCCGCGUACGUCAGGUACGGCAUGCUCGUACAUCUCGCCACUACAACAGUUAAGAUCGGGCCAAAGCCAGGUGCUCAUGCCAAAUGUGCUUUAUUGUCGUCCACUUGUGCGAUCGUCAUGUAUUUGAGUGAUGUCACACCGUAACAUGUAGACGACAGCUCGCAGCGACGUACUCAAACAAGCGGUUUCGCAAUGCGGGUUUGGCCUUUUGAUUGUUGUUGCUGCCGUAAUGCAUGAAGCAUUUUCUCAUUGCCGUACAUUUGGCAGGUGGCGAUACGGCAUCCUGGAUCGAACGCGUCACGAUUACCGGUAAGAUAUAACGGAGUUUUGGUUUGCAUGGGUGUGUCUGUGCAUGUAUGUAUGUAUGUAUGACGUUGAUUACACUGUGGGCUGAAAAGCCGGGGGCCCAGGGCCGAAGCACAGCGCGGGGGGCGGGUGCAUACGGCUGGUUAGUCUCAUGCACUCCGCCCCCGGGUCAGGCCGCACGGGAAACGACGGCCGGCACGCAACAGCGCUUGUUUGGCGCUCCAACUAGACGGGAUCUAUGCCCGUUGGUCUCCUAACAUAAACGAAGUCGCAACUGGGGGCCCCUUCCUGCCGACCGAACGAACCGAGCAUCUCAGAGAGCUCGCAACCAGGACCUGGGCGACCGGGAGCCCGACGAGUCAUCCCGGGCUGGGGAGGUCACCAAGCUCAAAAAUCCUCACGCAAUAAAAAGAGCGCAAAGAGCUCACACCACAAGACGCCAAAACAGCCUCCUGAGACUACUACCCUCCGCCUCUCCCUCCCUGGGCUAGUCCAGGGGAGAUAGCCCCCGUCGGGGGGAUAACACCGCACAAGUCCGCGCCCUUCCACAGCACUGGGUCUAACUUGAAAAGUACUCAAACGGGAAGACCCUGCGGCCACGCAGGGCGAUCAAGCCUCCGAAAAACCACAGGGGGGGAGGGUAGCCAGCUCGGCGCCCCCCCAAUACCGCUCUACCAAGACGGCUGGUUCCCAAGAUCCUAUCUCACCUAGACGCCGCAACACGAAAAACCCGGUCUCGUACCCUGAAGAACCUAGUCCUGCACCACGCGCGCACCUUCGAGUACGGCCCCUCCUUCUGGGUGCCCACCUCCCCCUCAUCCGCGCCCUCGCUACGGCCACCUGUUUCCACUCACCACCCCUCAACCCUACAUCCUCUUGGUGCUCUCUCUGCCUCUUUCCCUCCCCCCCCGGCUCUCCCCGCCCUUUCCCCGGUCUCCCCUCCCUCCGCCGGUACGGCUCCCCCAGGCAAAUAAACCCUCCCUCCCCCAUGUCCCCUUGCGCGGCACCCCCCCAAGCCCCAUCCCUGAUCCCGCCCCCCUCGCAACCUUUCCCCUCAACCUCCCUCUCGACCUCCCUGCCACCCCCACCACCUCAAAUCCCCCUUCCGCGCCUCGACACCCUAUCCCCUUAUCCCCUAAACUCCAGCUCCCGCCGCGUCCGCUUGACCAUUAGGUCGUGAUGUCCACCGCCUCCGCGCAGCGCAGUGCUCCCCCGACGAUUGACAGGAUCGGGUGGUGGGGUCCCACUCCGUCCCAGCCCCGCCUUGGGACAUUGAGCGCGGUGAAAGAGCGCAAGCGCGCCCAGAAGUCCACUACUGCCCGAGCGCGGGCGUAUUCCAGGGGGGUUGCUGCUGCUGUUGCUGUUGCUGCUGCUGUUGCUGCUGCUGUUGCCGUCCCCGGUCCCGCGAUGGGCCCCUGCGUUUGAUCCUCGAGUACCGGCGCGUUCAGCGGCGGCCCCUCGUGCGGUCUCACUCCGUUGGCCAGGUGGAAGAAGUCCGUUAUCCGCCGCUGUUGGGGCCCUUGCGCCUGGAUCUGUUGCGCUUGCUCUGGCUGUUCUGUCGCGGGGUUAGCCGCCCUUUCCAGUCGUCUUCCGGCUGCUCGCAGGCAGCACCUGCCUACCUCCAUAGCAGACAGGGCCGCCAGGGCGAUCACAUCCCAGGGGGCCUGCUCGCAGCCGGUCGGGGCUUGGACCAACCACAGCUGCUUCCGGGUGAUGCCGCCUGUCGCUGCCUCCUGGGAGGGCUGUAUGUGUCGGUCAAUUUGCUCCCGGACAGCUUGUGCGACAGGGCACUCCCAGAAGUGGUGCAUGCGUGGGGAGCAGUGCUGGUUGCUGGCGUUGCCGAACCCUCCACACCCACAGCGCUCAGGCACCAUGCGGGCCAGGUGCGUGUUGCCGGGCAGGGGGAUGCCGUCCACGGCGAGCCGCCACAGCGUUUCUUUGUUCUCGUUCUCCCACCGCACCCCCGACCACAAGCGGGCUUGCGUCGCCCUGAAGCGGCUUGUUUCCGCUGAGGAGGAAGGUGCCGUUUCCUGCGGGUCCAACGCUUCUUGCACAAAUGCUGCCAUCAAGCGUCCCCGUUUCUCCUCGGUGGCCCCGCAUUGCAGCUGUGUCGCUAGGCGGACCGUCAGGCGUGUGAGUGGGACGGUUGUUGUGCCGCCCGGUAUCUGCCAUCCGACCCGCUUUAGGAUCAUAGCCAACGCCUGAGUGCUGUUGGGGGUGCUUGGAGCCGUCAUGUCCCCCGCCGUUGGCAUCUCUGGCUGCUGCUGUUGGGGUUGCUGCUCAUGCGGCUGCGUCUGUAGCUGUUGCUGCGGCUGUUGCUGCUGUUGCGGCUGCGGCUGAUGCUGUGUCUGUAGCUGUGGUUGUGUUUGCAGCUGUUGUGGCUGUACCUGUGGCUGCGGCUGUGGCUGCGGCUGAGGCUGCGGCUGUAGCUGCGGCUGUGGCUGCGGCUGUGGCUGCGGCUGUGGCUGCGGCUGUGGCUGCGGCUGUGGCUGUGACUGCGGCUGUGGCUGCAGCUGUGCCUGCGGCUGGGGUUGCUGUUGCUGUUGGGUUUCCACUGCUCUUGCAGCUUCGAGCCAGGCCGGGUUGAUAGCGCCAUGUAGCGUCUUAAGGGCUGCCAGGGUCGCUGACCUGUCCCGCGUGGGUGCUGGGGUUGAUGGGUCGAGGUGUGUCCUGACCCAUUCGGGCCAGGUCGACCUGGGGAGGGAGGCCACUCGAGUAUGCACCACUAGGUCCCAGACCCGCACUAGGUCGCCCACCGUUUGCAGUUCCUGCAUGANNNNNNNNNNNNNNNNNNNNNNNNNNNNNNNNNNNNNNNNNNNNNNNNNNGCGGUUCAAACUGUCUGGGUCUGCCUCGCCGGUAUUGGGGAGCAACGGGUUACCCCACAACGCGGUUGCCCAGCACCACGGUCCGGGGGACAGGGGGCUGGUCUCGAUAUCCCGGAGCGGUGGUAGGUGUCCCAGGGCACCCACAAUCCGGCUGAUAUCCGUGGGUAGAUAAUCCUGUAGGAGUGAUAAGGACAUGUACGGCAUCUGUCUUUGCUUGGCAUCUCAGUCUUUUGUACAUUUAAUAGCGACACAAAGCUAGUCUGCGACAUCUAAGAGGUACCGAACGUAGUGGUUCGGAGCGAAUGCGUGUCUAUUUUAUGUAUGUACGAUAUGUGAUGUCACGUCCUUGAAAGGGUGUUGAGGAGGGCGGAUCUAUCCGUGCCGUGCUUGCCGUGACGGGAUGUUGCCUGAGCAGGACAUGCCCUCGUCAGUGUGUGUGUUAUCAGCAUGUUGCGUUUGGUCACCUCUACAGUGGCGUCACUCGCGGGGUUUUUUUAUUGCGUGUUUGAAUCGCGUACUGCAUCAUUGUCAUCGGCAUGUCUGGUGUUGCGAAUUCAGCUGGUGUGCGAGUUCAGCUCCGCAUUGCAGCUCGCCUGCCGCUGCCGUUGCUGCUGUUGCUGUUCCCGCACUUCUUUGUGGGUGCUGUUGCUGCUGUUGCUCUGUGUGUGUGUGUGUUUUAUGGUUGCGAAAGAGGGAAAUGUUUUCUUCCUGAAUGCGGCGUGCAUGGAUGAUGUUCUAGGGAUGUUGUUCUAGGGACCAGCGUUGCAGGUGACGUUGUCGAUAGCUUCGCGGACAAACCCCCCAUGCGUGGAUUUACAUACACGCAUACAUGCGUGUGCUGCUGUUUCGAGGGAGCGGGUGUUGAUCGGUUUUGAGGCGGGAAGAAGAGGAAGAGAGAAAGUGAUGGAGGGGGAUAUGCGCACCGUCACCACACUGCACCGCACGCCAUUACUUGUGGCCGUUGUCUGUCGGCCGCUUGACCCCCGGAGGAGUCCAUCAAGCGGGGAAGUGCCCGGAGCGCUUUCCCAAAAUGUUAGGUGUCGCAAAAGGCCUUCCAUAUGUUGUGGAAUUGCGUUCUAGCUUGAUGGCUGAUCUUUUUGCGUUAAAGAGUCCCCCCUCCUCCUGUUGUGAGGGGGCUUUUCCGUACCCCGCCAUUCUUUGGCUGGUUAAAGGUGUGAGAGAUGGUGAUGCGGUGAUAUGUGUCGUACCGCGUGACGAAUGAUACAGUGAUGCAGCUCUUGGGAGCCAUCGUCGCAUUCGGAAAAUGCGGGCAAGCGAGCCGUCGCUAUAGCGCCAGUACAUAAGCCCUUGCCAGGUCUUCCAGUCUGCGUGCGGCGGCAAGCUAGGCGUGGAGCUGGAACAGCAAAACCUCCUCUGUCUCAAAUGCUAAAUGCUAAUGAGGUGAUUACCACUCCCCCUUGCUGCCCAGACUCUGGCCCUUGUAACAUUUCUAUUUGCAUGGCACCUUUCCAGCCUCAGAUACUUAUGGGCGCCCAUCCAUCCCGCUUGUGUUUGGGGCAGAGUUUCAAAGGAAUGCGG